Molecule: unclassified non-coding RNA, 244 nt
Filed under: Meyerozyma guilliermondii
Lineage: Eukaryota; Fungi; Ascomycota; Pichiomycetes; Serinales; Debaryomycetaceae
Also listed under: 2 other names
Description: partial internal transcribed spacer region
Rfam family: Eukaryotic small subunit ribosomal RNA (bases 1-46)
Source: RNAcentral
AAGUCGUAACAAGGUUUCCGUAGGUGAACCUGCGGAAGGAUCAUUACAGUAUUCUUUUGCCAGCGCUUAACUGCGCGGCGAAAAACCUUACACACAGUGUCUUUUUGAUACAGAACUCUUGCUUUGGUUUGGCCUAGAGAUAGGUUGGGCCAGAGGUUUAACAAAACACAAUUUAAUUAUUUUUAUUAGUAGUCGAAUUUUGAAUUAAUCUUCAAAACUUUCAACAACGGAUCUCUUGGUUCUC